Molecule: ribosomal RNA, 2328 nt
Filed under: human gut metagenome
Description: bacterial LSU rRNA
Rfam family: Bacterial large subunit ribosomal RNA
Source: RNAcentral
CCAUGCGCCUACAAGCGGUCGGAGCUCGCAAGAGUGACGGCGUGCCUUUUGCAUAAUGAACCUACGAGUUACUUUUUCCGGCAAGGUUAAGGAUCUUGAGAUCUGCAGCCGAAGCGAAAGCGAGUCUGAACAGGGCGUAUAGUCGGAAGGAGUAGACGCGAAACCAAGUGAUCUACCCUUGAGCAGGUUGAAGGAUGGGUAACACCAUCUGGAGGACCGAACCAAUAAGCGUUGAAAAGCUUCUGGAUGACUUGAGGGUGGGGGUGAAAGGCUAAUCAAACUUGGAGAUAGCUCGUACUCCCCGAAAUGCAUUUAGGUGCAGCCUUGACUUAUACUGGCAUGAGGUAGAGCGACUGAUAAGAUGCGAGGGCUUCACCGCCUAUCAAGUCUUGACAAACUCCGAAUGCGUGUCAGUUCUAUGUCAGGAGUGAGGGCAUGGGUGCUAAGGUCCAUGUCCUAAAGGAGAACAAUCCGGACCAACAGCUAAGGUCCCGAAAUGAAUACUAAGUUGAACUAACGAAGUCAGAUUGCUAAGACAGCUAGGAUGUUGGCUUGGAAGCAGCCAUUCAUUUAAAGAGUGCGUAACAGCUCACUAGUCGAGGAGUUUGGCGUGGAUAAUAAUCGGGCAUUAAGUAUUCUACCGAAGCUUUGGGAUGUUUAAACAUCGGUAGGGGAGCAUUCCACUCUGCGUCGAAGGUGAAGCGUGAGCUUUGCUGGAGCGUGUGGAAAAGCAAAUGUAGGUAUAAGUAACGAUAAAGGGGGUGGGAAACCCCCUCGCCGAAAGACUAAGGUUUCCUGAUCAACGCUAAUCGGAUCAGGGUUAGUCGGGUCCUAAGGGUAAGCCGAACGGUGAUCUCGAUGGACAAUCGGUUAAUAUUCCGAUACUGACAUGAGCCUCGAUGGAGAGACGAAGGAACGUAAGUGACGCCAUCUGACGGAAUAGGUGGUUAAAGGGCGUAGGUAUAGGGAUUGAUUAAGAGUUGAUCCUUGCUGAGACCCGACAGUACGGAGCGGCUACGGCCAAUCCGAUAGUUCACCCAAGUAUACUUCCGAGAAAAUCUUCUAAGUUUAAGUUCAUGUCACCCGUACCGUAAACCGACACAGGUGGUCGAGGAGAGUAUCCUAAGGUGCUCGAGUGAAUCACGGUUAAGGAACUAGGCAAAUUAACCCCGUAACUUCGGGAAAAGGGGUCCCUAUGAAAGUAGGGCGCAGCGAAGAGGUCCAGGCGACUGUUUAUCAAAAACACAGGGCUCUGCAAAUUCGAAAGAAGACGUAUAGGGCCUGACACCUGCCCGGUGCUGGAAGGUUAAGAGGGGAUGUCAUCGCAAGAGAAGCAUUGAAUCGAAGCCCCAGUAAACGGCGGCCGUAACUAUAACGGUCCUAAGGUAGCGAAAUUCCUUGUCGGGUAAGUUCCGACCUGCACGAAUGGUGUAAUGAUCUGGACACUGUCUCAACCGUGAGCUCAGUGAAAUUGUAGUAUCGGUGAAGAUGCCGAUUACCCGCGAUGGGACGAAAAGACCCCGUGAACCUUUACUAUAGCUUAACAUUGAAUUUGGGUAAUUGAUGUGUAGGAUAGGUCGGAGGCUUUGAAGCAGGUACGCCAGUAUUUGUGGAGCCGCUGUUGAAAUACGGCCCUUUGAUUAUUUGAGUUCUAACUCGUAGAUACGAGGACACUGUUUGGUGGGUAGUUUGACUGGGGUGGUCGCCUCCAAAAGCGUAACGGAGGCUUCUAAAGGUGCCCUCAGACCGAUUGGUAACCGGUCGCAGAGUGUAAUGGCAUAAGGGCGCUUGACUGGGAGACUUACAAGUCGAUCAGGUAGGAAACUAGAGCAUAGUGAUCCGGUGUUUCUGUAUGGAAAGGACAUCGCUCAAAGGAUAAAAGGUACUCCGGGGAUAACAGGCUGAUCCCUCCCAAGAGCUCAUAUCGACGGAGGGGUUUGGCACCUCGAUGUCGGCUCGUCACAUCCUGGGGCUGGAGAAGGUCCCAAGGGUUGGGCUGUUCGCCCAUUAAAGUGGCACGCGAGCUGGGUUCAGAACGUCGUGAGACAGUUCGGUCUCUAUCUAUCGUGGGCGUAUGAAAUUUGCGUGGCUCUGACACUAGUACGAGAGGACCGUGUUGGACUGACCUCUGGUUUACCAGUUGUGCCGCCAGGUGCAUUGCUGGGUAUCUAAGUCGGGAUUGGAUAAGUGCUGAAAGCAUCUAAGUACGAAGCCAGCCACAAGAUUAGAUUUCUUAGGGUCGUCAAAGACGAUGACGUUGAUAGGAUGCAGGUGUAAAGGUGGUAACAUCAAAGCCGAGCAUUACUAAUUGCCCGUUCACUUUCUUUC